GCAAGUCGAGGGGCAGCAUUACUUUCGGGUAGAUGGCGACCGGCGCACGGGUGCGUAACGCGUAUGAAACCUACCCUUUACUGGGAGAUAGCCCGGAGAAAUUCGGAUUAAUAUCCCAUGGUAUUAUAAAACUGCAUGGUUUAAUAAUUAAAGAUUUAUCGGUAAAAGAUGGUCAUGCGUGACAUUAGGUAGUUGGUAAGGUAACGGCUUACCAAGCCUGCGAUGUCUAGGGGUCCUGAGAGGAUGAUC
Molecule: ribosomal RNA, 249 nt
Filed under: uncultured bacterium
Lineage: Bacteria
Description: partial 16S ribosomal RNA
Rfam family: Bacterial small subunit ribosomal RNA
Source: RNAcentral